Molecule: ribosomal RNA, 977 nt
Filed under: uncultured candidate division CAB-I bacterium
Lineage: Bacteria
Description: bacterial SSU rRNA
Rfam family: Bacterial small subunit ribosomal RNA
Source: RNAcentral
GAGUUUGAUCAUGGCUCAGGAUGAACGCACAAGACGUGCCUAACACAUGCAAAUCGAAUGAAAACAAUUUAAUUAAAUUGUUUUCAUGGUGAACGGGUGAGUAACACAUAAGAAUCAGCUUUUAGAUAAGGCAUAAAAGAGUAAUAUCUUGGUAAUUCCUUAUAUGCGCAGCAGUGCUUAAAAAGGGGACUCCCGUCUAAAAACGAGCUUAUGCCUGAUUAGCUAGUUGGCGAGUUAAAAGCUCACCAAGGCGAAGAUCAGUAGCUGGCCUGAGAGGGCGGCCAGCCACAUUGGGACUGAGACACGGCCCAAACUCCUACGGGAGGCAGCAGUGGGGAAUCUUCUGCAAUGGGCGCAAGCCUGACAGAGCGGCGUCAUGUGAAGGAAGAAGGCCUGAAAUAGGUUGUAAACUUCUUUUACUGAGUAAUGAAUACUGACAACGCAGUAAAAAAGUAUCGGCUAACUCCGUGCCAGCAGCCGCGGUAAUACGGGGGAUGCAAGCGUUAUCCGGAAUCACUGGGCGUAAAGCGUCUGUAGAUGGUUUAGUGUGUUCUUAGUUAAAUUAUGAAGCCUAACUUCAUGAAAAGUAAGAAAACUAUUAGACUUGAGUACGAUAGGGGUAAGAGGAAUUCUUCGAGAAGUAGUGAAAUGCGAAGAUACGAAGGAGAAGAUCAUAAGCGAAGGCUUCUUACUGGGUCGUAACUGACACUGAGAGACGAAAGCUAGGGGAGCGAAUGGGAUUAGAUACCCCAGUAGUCCUAGCUGUAAACGAUGGAUAUUCGGUGCCGGAUUUUAUUAGAACAUUUCGGUACCCUAGCUAACGCGUUAAAUAUCCCGCCUGAGGAGUACGCUCGCAAGGGUGAAACUCAAAGGAAUUGACGGGGGCUCGCACAAGCGGUGGAGCAUGUGGUUUAAUUCGAUGCAAAGCGAAGAACCUUACCAGGGCUUGACAGUAUGUAUAAAAGUCUUAACGGACU